UACGAAUGGGGCAAGCGUUGUUCGGAAUCACUGGGCUUAAAGCGUAUGUAGGCGGAACCGUAAGUCAGGAGUGAAAUCCCGGGGCUCAACCCCGGAACUGCUUCUGAAACUACGGUUCUAGAAUCCUGGAGAGGUUGGGAGAAUUCCGAGUGUAGAGGUGAAAUUCGCAGAUAUUCGGAGGAAUACCAGUGGCGUAGGCGCCCAACUGGACAGGUAUUGACGCUCAGAUACGAAAGCGUGGGGAGCAAACAGG
This 253-nucleotide unclassified non-coding RNA is filed under the name uncultured Alphaproteobacteria bacterium. RNAcentral describes it as "contains 16S-23S intergenic spacer region". It matches the Rfam family "Bacterial small subunit ribosomal RNA", at positions 524 to 776 of the family's 1533-position model. The record is from RNAcentral. Lineage: Bacteria; Pseudomonadati; Pseudomonadota; Alphaproteobacteria.